CCAAAAUAGAGGCAGUUAAAUUGUUAAAACGAUUGUUAUUCCGGAUUAUCUCCACGUAUCCAGGGAUGAUACCGGAAUAAAUAUUUGUUAUUCGAUUACGAAUAUUUAUCCCGGUUAUUUUCGCAUUGCCUUCCAUCUCGUAAGGAUAACAGGUUAUUUUUCAAAUCGUCAUCAGCAUCAGCGAUAGUUAGUACAGGUG
Toxorhynchites rutilus septentrionalis is the source of this 199-nucleotide long non-coding RNA. RefSeq lists it as uncharacterized. The record is from RefSeq and is a predicted model, not a curated record. Lineage: Eukaryota; Metazoa; Arthropoda; Insecta; Diptera; Culicidae. The transcript has 3 exons.